UACGUAGGGGGCAAGCGUUGUCCGGAUUUAUUGGGCGUAAAGAGCGUGUAGGCGGUUAGGUAGGUCCGUUGUGAAAACUCGAGGCUCAACCUCGAGACGCCGAUGGAAACCCCCUAACUAGAGUCCGGAAGAGGAGAGUGGAAUUCCUGGUGUAGCGGUGAAAUGCGCAGAUAUCAGGAAGAACACCCGUGGCUAAGGCGGCUCACUGGCCCGAUACUGACGCUGAGGUGCGAAAGCGUGGGGAGCAAACAGG
RNAcentral lists this ribosomal RNA (253 nucleotides) under uncultured bacterium. RNAcentral describes it as "partial 16S ribosomal RNA". It matches the Rfam family "Bacterial small subunit ribosomal RNA", at positions 524 to 776 of the family's 1533-position model. The record is from RNAcentral.